RNAcentral lists this ribosomal RNA (500 nucleotides) under uncultured bacterium. Its description in RNAcentral is "partial 16S ribosomal RNA". It matches the Rfam family "Bacterial small subunit ribosomal RNA", at positions 30 to 523 of the family's 1533-position model. The record is from RNAcentral.
AUUGAACGCUGGCGGAAUGCUUUACACAUGCAAGUCGAACGGCAGCACGGACUUCGGUCUGGUGGCGAGUGGCGAACGGGUGAGUAAUGCAUCGGAACGUGCCCAAUCGUGGGGGAUAACGUAGCGAAAGUUACGCUAAUACCGCAUACGAUCUAAGGAUGAAAGCGGGGGAUCGCAAGACCCCGCGCGAAUGGAGCGGCCGAUGUUAGAUUAGGUAGUUGGUGGGGGAAAGGCUCACCAAGCCGACGAUCUAUAGCUGGUCUGAGAGGAUGAUCAGCCACACUGGGACUGAGACACGGCCCAGACUCCUACGGGAGGCAGCAGUGGGGAAUUUUGGACAAUGGGCGCAAGCCUGAUCCAGCCAUUCCGCGUGCAGGAUGAAGGCCCUCGGGUUGUAAACUGCUUUUGUACAGAACGAAAGGCUCUGGGUUAAUACCCUGGGGUCAUGACGGUACUGUAAGAAUAAGCACCGGCUAACUACGUGCCAGCCGCCGCAGUAA